RNAcentral lists this ribosomal RNA (253 nucleotides) under uncultured bacterium. RNAcentral describes it as "partial 16S ribosomal RNA". It matches the Rfam family "Bacterial small subunit ribosomal RNA", at positions 524 to 776 of the family's 1533-position model. The record is from RNAcentral.
UACAGAGGUCUCAAGCGUUGUUCGGAUUCAUUGGGCGUAAAGGGUGCGUAGGCGGCGUGGUAAGUCGGGGGUGAAAUCUCGGAGCUUAACUCCGAAACUGCAUUCGAUACUGCCGUGCUUGAGGACUGGAGAGGAGACUGGAAUUUACGGUGUAGCGGUGAAAUGCGUAGAUAUCGUAAGGAAGACCAGUGGCGAAGGCGGGUCUCUGGACAGUACCUGACGCUGAGGCACGAAGGCGAGGGGAGCAAACGGG